CCUACGGGAGGCAGCAGUGAGGAAUAUUGGUCAAUGGACGAGAGUCUGAACCAGCCACGUAGCGUGAAGGAUGACUGCCCUAUGCGUUGUAAACUUCUUUUAUAAAGGAAUAAAACGAGGCACGUGUGCCUUUUUGCAGGUACUUUAUGGAUAAGGAUCGGCUAAUUCCGUGACAGCAGCCGCGGUAAUACGGAGGAUCCGAGCGUUAUCCGGAUUUAGUGGGUUUUAAGGGCGCGUAGAUGGGUUGUUAAGGCAGUUGUGAAAGUUUGCGGCUCAACCGGAAAAGUGCAAUUGAUACUGGCUGUCUGGAGUACAGUUGAGGUAAGCGGAAUUCGUGGUGUAGCGGUGAAAUGCGUAGAUAUCACGAAGAACCCCGAUUGCGAAGGCAGCUUACUAAACUGUGACUGACAUUGAUGCUCGAAAGUGUGGGUAUCAAACAGGAUUAGAUACCCUAGUAGUC
This 460-nucleotide ribosomal RNA is filed under the name uncultured bacterium. RNAcentral's name for it is "partial 16S ribosomal RNA". It matches the Rfam family "Bacterial small subunit ribosomal RNA", at positions 338 to 795 of the family's 1533-position model. The record is from RNAcentral.